CAACCCUCGUGCCCCCGGGCGCGGUGUUGGGGAUCGGCCGCCCGAUUGCGGGAGGCCGGCCCCGAAAUGGAGUGGCGACCACGCCGUAGCCUCCUCUGCGUAGUAGUGUAAAAACCUCGCAGGCGGAGAGCGGUGCGGUCCUGCCGUAAAACACCCAACUUUCUAAGG
This 168-nucleotide unclassified non-coding RNA is filed under the name uncultured Acremonium. Its description in RNAcentral is "sequence contains ITS2". Lineage: Eukaryota; Fungi; Ascomycota. The record is from RNAcentral.